RNAcentral lists this long non-coding RNA (1420 nucleotides) under Ovis aries (sheep). RNAcentral's name for it is "lncRNA (ENSOARG00000026807.1)". Lineage: Eukaryota; Metazoa; Chordata; Mammalia; Artiodactyla; Bovidae. The record is from RNAcentral.
AUGUUGAUGGCAUGCUCUUUUGUGAAAAAAAAAAAAAAAAAAGAUUUUCAUUUGGAAAUAAUUUUAAGUGUACUGAAAAGCUUAAAGAAUAAGAAUAGUAGGACUUCCCUCAUGGUCCAGCGGUUAAGAACCGAUUGCCAAUGCAGGGGACAUAGGUUCUAUCCCUGGUCACGAAACGAAGAUCCCACGUGCCGCAGAGCAGCUCAGCCCUUGCACCACAAGUACCGAAGCCCGCGUGCUCUGAAGUCCGGGCUUUGCAACAGGAGAAACCACCGGGGUGGGAAGCCUUACACCAGGGCAAGAGCAGCCCCCACUCACUGCACUGGAGAGAGCCUGCCCUCAGCAAGGAAGGCGCACUUCACUGGAGAGAGCUUGCCCUCAGCAAGGAAGACACACUGCACUGGAGAGAGCCUGCCCUCAGCAAGGAAGGCGCACUUCACUGGAGAGAGCUUGCCCUCAGCAAGGAAGGCACAGUGCAGCCACAAAAAGAGAGGCACAAUUAUGAUGUACAUAGAAUGGACACAACGAAAACAAAUAACAAAUGUGUGUGGUCAGGCUUGGCCGUCUGGCGAAACCAGUCCCCAGACCAUCACACCCAGCGCUCUCUCUGUUUCUCUGGAAGCAGCGUGUUCGGGAGAAAGAUAAUUAAAAAGGGAAAGAGAAGAAAAAGCUCAGGCUUUAGGGUUGGGGAGCAAGGGGUUUGAAUAACGGCUUCUCCACUCAAGAGUGAACCUAAGGCACGGAUAUAGCUCCUCUCAGCCUCUCUUCCUCAUCAGAGAUGAUGGUGAGGUUCGCUGUCCCUGAAAAACAGCCCAGUGCCUGCCUUGUAUUAGGUACUUGAGCUCGUUAAUGUAUCUUCCUUUCUAGUCAUGAUGUCAUAUUUAUUCAUGCCUAGCAACAUCCUGGCAUUUUCCUUUUGGCAAUUCUGAUCUUGGGAGUGAAAGUAACUCAGAACAAAAGGAUGCAUCCAGCCACGUGGGCGACCUGCUGCGUCCCACCUGCCUCUGACAUCAGCGCUUCUCUCAUGGACUUGCAGCUCCCCGCUGUGAGGCUGACUUUCUCUGCCCCCAUGCCCACCUUUCAGUCCUGGGCUGUGCGGUUUGAGCUGCAGAGGAUCCUCGAGUCUGUACGUGUGAUAAAGGAGACAGCAGCUUAUACUAAAGUGUCUGCCUGACUGAUAACAGAUCAGAAACAGCAAGUGGCCUUUGAAAUUGAAACUCUGACUGUAGUGGGAAAAUGAAAGGAUCUUACAUUCUUUGAUCAAAGGAUGAUAUUUUCCAACUUGGAAAAGGGGACGGUUCUGCCUGCCAAAGCCUCCGAUAAAGGAUGAUAUUUUCCAACUUGGAAAAGGGGAUGGUUCUGCCUGCCAAAGCCUCUGUGUUCCCUACCUACCCUAGGGAAGAAUAUUCAGGAGCAAAGC